UACGGGGGGGGCAAGCGUUGUUCGGAAUUACUGGGCGUAAAGGGCUCGUAGGUGGCCAACUAAGUCAGACGUGAAAUCCCUCGGCUUAACCGGGGAACUGCGUCUGAUACUGGAUGGCUUGAGUUCGGGAGAGGGAUGCGGAAUUCCAGGUGUAGCGGUGAAAUGCGUAGAUAUCAGGAAGAACACCCGUGGCGAAGGCGGCUCUCUGGGACGGUACUGACGGCU
RNAcentral lists this ribosomal RNA (225 nucleotides) under uncultured bacterium. RNAcentral's name for it is "partial 16S ribosomal RNA". It matches the Rfam family "Bacterial small subunit ribosomal RNA", at positions 524 to 747 of the family's 1533-position model. The record is from RNAcentral.